CGGGUUGGGGAAGGGGGGGUUGGUGCGGGGGGCGGGCAGCGCUUGGGGGGCGGCUCGGGCUCCCCCCGGAGGGAGGCGGGGAAGGCGGCGGGGGCGGCUCCCGGUGUCCGGUGUGCCGCUCUCCAGCGGAGUUCCCGGUGUCCCGCGGUGGAAUUCCCGGUGUCCCGGUGUCCCGCACCCCCCGUCCCCACCGAGCCCCGCGCAGGUGGCCCUGAGGGCCCUGAGCCUCUGCCAGGGGCACCAUGAGGGGUCUCUGGGCCCUGGUGCUCACCGGGCUCAUCAGCGCCUGCCAGGGGAAGGAGCCGCUGCCAACAGAAGGGGAGUUGUGCCCGCGGCUCUGGGACGAGGAUCUGUUUGGGGACAAGUACGAGAAUGUCACCGGGUUUAACCUGGUUAAAAGGUUCGACCUGCUCAAGAUCUCAUCCAUCAAGAAGAUCCGCAGCGCCCGGGGGCCAGCGGUGCUGCGCCUGGGCACCGUGCCCCUGGUCCAGCCCACGCAGUGAGUGACCUGGGUGACACGUCAGGUGGCCUUGGGUGACCUGUGAGGUGGCCCAAAGCUCCUCCA
RNAcentral lists this long non-coding RNA (565 nucleotides) under Junco hyemalis (dark-eyed junco). Its description in RNAcentral is "lncRNA (ENSJHYG00000006802.1)". Lineage: Eukaryota; Metazoa; Chordata; Aves; Passeriformes; Passerellidae. The record is from RNAcentral.